CACAAACACACAAUAAUGAAUAUUAUUACAGACAAAAGUCAUGAGAAAAAUGUUAAUACAAGUAUCGAAGAAGAUAACAUGAUUGAUACAUGUUCAUGUAGUGGAACUCAAAUGAUACAUCGUUCCACCAGCAUAUCUCCUGACAGAAUAAUAAAUUCACCAAUUAAAACUCAAAUUCGUCGAGUGUACACACGUGAAAUUGCAGGUGUGAAAUAAAAACUAGCUGUAAGUCGUCACAAGCAUAAAAAAGCACAAAAGAAAAUAUUAACACUGAAGACUGUGCUAAAAGAUCUACAGAAACGGAAUCUACUCAGACCAGAGGAAAGCGACAUAUUGCAACAUUUAGAUACAGAAUCUGGGUUACAAAUUUGAUGUACAAUCAAAUAAUCUUCAAACGUGGUUUAAACAUCCAUCUACCGACACCAAAUUACACGUAUUUCUUGAUGCGUGCCACAUGAUAAAGUUGGUACGUAAUGUUCUUGGUUCUAAAAAAGAACUUUUAGAUAAUGAUGGAAAUAAAAUCAAAUGGAAACACUUUGAAGAUUUGCAUCAAUUGCAACAAACAGAGGGCUUACAUCUCGGUAACAAACUUAGAAUUAAGCACAUUGAUUUUUAUAAAAACAAAAUGAAAGUGAAAUUAGCGACACAAUUAUUGAGUACGUCAGUUGCAAACGCAUUCGAGUUAUGCAAAGAUUCGUUACAAUUACCACAAUUUGAAGAUUGUACAGCAACUAUUAAAUUUACCUCUACUUUUAAUGACUUAUUUGACAUUUUUAAUUCAAAAAAUAUAAGACAACGUGGUUUUAAAAAACCCAUAAAUAGUAACAAUUAUUUAGAAAUUACAAAAAAACUCGAAGAAUGCGCAAAGUAUAUUAAAACAUUGGUACUUGUUAAAGAACACAAAGAAGUGCUUAAUUCAAAAGUCAAAACAGGUUUUCUAGGUUUUUUAAUAGAUAUUGAAAGUUUGAUACAUAUGUAUAACUUUAUUUGCGUUGAAAAUGACUUAUUGACAUAUAUUCCAACAUAUAAAAUUAGUCAGGAUUAUUUAGAACUGUUAUUUAGUAGUAUACGCUCACAUGGUAGAUAUAACAACAAUCCUACGGUUAAACAAUUUAAGUCUAUUUUUAAAAAAUUAAUAGUACAUACAGAAAUAAGGGAAACAAAAAGUGGUAACUGUAUACCUUUAGAAGAUAUUUCAAUAUUACAUAUGCCAUCAACACAUAAUCCAGUUGACAUUAUAAAUGCUACAGCAAAUCAAAAUUCAUAUGAAAACUGGCUUAAUGUUUUUGAAAUCACAGAAACUGAUCAUGAUUAUUGUUCAGAAGUACAAUGUUCAUUUACUACAGAAUAUAAGAAUGAAGUUAUUACUUACAUGGCUGGGUACAUAUUACGAAGACUUAUAAAAACUUUACGUUGUCCUGAAUGCCUCGAAACAUUAAUGGAACAACGUACAAACAUUAACUGUAAUUUAAUAAAUAUUAAAAACAGAGGAGGAUUGUUAUAUCCAUCAAAAAAUUUAGUAUGUUUGUAAAAAUAUAGAAAACACAUUAAGAAAUUAUACCAACAUACAUAAAACACUUGAUCUAUUCAAUAUAAAUAAAUUUACAAAUGAUAUUAUGUUACGAUUUAUUGAUAAAAACAUAUUUGCGGAAUUAAAAGACCAUAUAAACGAUC
Molecule: long non-coding RNA, 1674 nt
Organism: Wasmannia auropunctata (little fire ant)
Lineage: Eukaryota; Metazoa; Arthropoda; Insecta; Hymenoptera; Formicidae
Exons: 2
Source: RefSeq, a predicted model, not a curated record